Trachemys scripta elegans is the source of this 3323-nucleotide long non-coding RNA. RefSeq lists it as uncharacterized. Lineage: Eukaryota; Metazoa; Chordata; Testudines; Emydidae. The transcript is spliced from 2 exons. The record is from RefSeq and is a predicted model, not a curated record.
CUUACAUUAGAGUGAAUAAAUGAAGACUCAGCACACCACUUCUGAAAAGUUGCCGACCCCUGGUGUAGAAUGACUGGUAUAAUUUUAUUCCUAUUUGAUCACUGCUCUGAUUAACAGCGCUCACUGCUGUACACUGUUAAAGUUCAAAUUGUAAGCCUAUCUAAUCUUGUAUAAGAUAGAAAUUCUAAAUUGCAGCACAAAAAUAUUUACCUUUUCUCUGAUGUAUUAAACUUGUGUGUGUAAUUACAUUGUAAAUCCUUUAGCGAAUAAAUGGUCCUUUUAUCUUAUACCCUGCUUACCAGAUAAUAAAUACAAGAUUUGACUUUUUACAAAACUGUUUACAUUAGCAAUAGCUGAUCCUUAUUUCCGCUUUUCAGGAGGACUUGAAUAGUGAUACAGCAUGAUAUGCAUUUGUACUUUAGGAAAAUAACUAAAAAGGUUGAUUUCCCCCCCACCCCCUCCUUUGGUAACCAUUUGUAACUAAAUAUAGCCUUUACACUAAAUUUGAUGCUGCUUUUCAUGAACCAGUAGGGUACACUAUAUCUAUAAAAAUGUAUUUAAGCAAAGAUAUAACUUACAUACAUGGUGAUGGUGCUGCCCACCUAAUAACUUUUAGACCAGAGUACUAGCCUGGGAUGAGGGAAACCCAGGCAAGCUCUAACUACUUAGCUAAAACCUACAAGGUAGGUGCCACCUCUGUUGGCUGGAUUUUCUCCUCCAUCUGGAUUUUGAACAAGUCCCAAUCCUGUAAAUAGCCUCUGAUCAUGCAUACCAGAUUGGGCCUAUACACGACUUAGGUGGCCAAAUACCUGUCUUUAUCUGGUUCAGGAAUCGCUCUGGGAAUUUGGCAGGCAAUAGGACUCCAGACGCCUAGAAUGAGGCAGUAGUGUGCAUUCCAGAGACAGAAACAGUAAGCUCCUAGGGAACUCUUACAGCAAAAACAUAGGAGUCAAAUGAAUGUAGGCACCUACAGGGUUCAGCAGGAGUUUUGUGGAUUGUAGUGGAGCUAAAACAUACUGGGUCCAAUCCUAUCCUAUGUUUUUCGAGAUUCAACCUAGUAGAUCUCAUCCUCACACCUAUUUUUUUUCAUAGAUUGGAAGACAAAAACAAGCUUCCUUGCUUUUUUCAACUUCCAGUUGGUUUCUCAACUUCAAAUGAACUAGUCAUAAAACUCAAUUAGCAGAAUAAACUGAAAUAAGGGAAAAAUCUUUCUGCACCUGUAGAAGUGACUACUGCUUUUCAAAAGCUGGUUUAGCACUUCAACUAUAUCUGGUUCCAGUUGCUUAGUCAGUGACUUCCACCACUUUAGUGGUUUGACUUUCUUUAAAAUUUGGCAGCAGAUACGUUGUACUACUUAAUAUUUUUUUGUAUUUAAUUUAAAUGAUUUUAAAGAUUAUUAAAUUCAAUUAAUUUUUAGGGUUUUUUUAAAUGAACUUGUAUUUAAUUCAAAUAAGUCCACUUUAGUCAUCAGCUUUUAUCCACCCUCUGCUGCCCCUCUCGUUAGAGGACGCAGAGAGGCAGCUCAGAUUACAGGAUUGACAUGUUUCAUCUCUUCCAAAGAUCACGUCAAGGUCUUCCAACAAAGGGAAGACAGUAAGGACCUGAUACAUUUCAAAUAUUGUAUAUAUUUUGGAGGCGGGGGAGAAUUGAAGCUAUCUUUGUGCCUCUUAAUGGAACAGUAAAUACUAAAAUUGACUUGUCUUUGGCUUGCAGUUUUACUUCUAAACUAAAACUGUAACUGGCAUUCUUGUCUUCUGGUAAAAAUAAUCUUGCUGACAAGUGACUUAUUUAUUGGAAAUCUGACUGUAAAGGUUUUGAUUCCACUUCACUACUGACUUAUUAAAAGAACACUCUUAAGAUUUAAAUAUUCAUAGUUUGGCAAUGGAAUGUGGAAUCUUUCAUGUCUUGUUCAGAUCUAUCGGACUGGCAAGUUUGAUCUUGGUGGUAUUAGUAUAAAUGUAUCCACAUCAUUCAGUUGUUACUACGGAUGACAGAAGAGGGGCCAAGGAGUGAAUGGUUCAUGAAGACUGAAUUACCUUCUAAUAGAAUAUGGAGAAUGCUGAAUUCCUAUUACCCAUACUGUGACUGUUCUGUGAAGUUCACCAAUAUGCAUGGUGCGAGCACAAGGGCUAUGCUUUACUUAAUUUUUCAAAAUUGGGCUUAAGUAGCACAUAGACCUUCUGGUCCUCUAAACAUUGGUGAACCUAAUCCUUUAUGAAGAGGACUUCAGUCUUCAAAGUCAAUUUGGCAACCAGCAAUAAUACUCUUAAAAAGAAUGUUCAUGUAAACUAUAUGAAAGCAGGGUAGAAACUGACCUGCAGUAGCACGCUGUGAUGCGCUUGUUGCUUUAACACUUUUCUAGUAGUACGUGAUCAGUAAUUACACAACCUUUCAAAUGGAAUUGAUGAAAUGAGUGCAGCUUUCCUAGUUAUUGUGCCUUGUGACCUUCACUGUUGGCUGUGUGUGGACGCAUGAAGACAAUUUUUUUCAUCUGUGCUGUUCACAAUAUACACAUUUGAUUUUUAAAGUGAUAUGCUAUUUCAAAAUAUAAACUUUGCUUGGAAAACCAUUACCUCUAAGUUUUAAAAUCCCUUAGCCCUUUUUAUACUCUGGGGAGAAUAAGGAUACAAAAUGUGCAGAAAAUAAAGACAGUUUUGUUUCGCCCGACUUCAUAGAGCUGGCUUCAUAACUUAUGAUUCUUCAUUAUUAAAACACUUCAAAAGUCAAAAGAACCCACUACUUUUGAUACAGUUGAGGGGUACUGGUGUCCUCUGAACUCUGAAAAAGAUAAUUUAGGUUUAUAUAACAAAAUGUUAGUAUGGCGGCAGUACCUUGUCCUAUAUUAUCUUGUGCUGUGAUCUAAUUUGAUAUUGCAUGCUGAGCAGUAUGGACAGUAUGUGUAUAGAUGGAAGACCUCAAAGGAAAACCUAGGUGCCCCAUGAAAUUACAUUGCUGAUUCAAUAGGUGGCCUUUGUUCCUGAGUGUUGGUGUGGACCCAGUAUCUCACCAUGGUGUUGAGGGUAGCUUAUGGUAAACUGAGUCACAGUGUUGCUGUGUACUGUUGUCACUUGCCAUUGGGAGAAAGUGUUGAUUCCUAUAUUAAUUAAUUAAUUAAGCUCUUUUAGGACAAAGACUACAUAAGUAUACAAUGUAAAUCUUAGCAUAAUUCCAUACACAAGUUGCCCAACUUUAGGGGGUCAGUAAGCAAAAUAAACUCUCUGAAUAUAUUUGGUCUAUGCUAAGAAUGUUUCUAAACAAGUGCUUGGUUAAUCAUAACUUUAAUGUACUUAAAGUUACGUUCAAAAGGCUUCUGGGGUGUAAUU